This is a long non-coding RNA of Populus trichocarpa (black cottonwood), 1808 nucleotides long. RefSeq lists it as uncharacterized. The transcript is spliced from 3 exons. NCBI's taxonomy places the organism in Eukaryota, Viridiplantae, Streptophyta, Magnoliopsida, Malpighiales, Salicaceae. The record is from RefSeq and is a predicted model, not a curated record.
AUUUACCAACAACCAACCUUAUCAUGGUAAGGUGUUCUUUGAACCAGCUUUCUUUUAAUUUUUGGAAUUUUCAAAAGAACAUCACCAAUACUAAUUUUAAGUUUAAGUCGUUCGCAUGUUAAUUUUAGCAAACACACUUUCCUUCAAAAUAAUAAUAAUAAUAAUAAUUCUAUUAACAAUUAAAGAAUUUAUCUUAUUUAAUUCUUACUGUUAUCUCUUAAUAAUGCACAAAUCAUUAUAUUUUUCUUGUUUGAAUUUGGAUUUGACUACUUAAUUAGUCCCUUAAACUCGUAGUGGAUAUAUGUUGCCUCCCUUAAUGAUCCAAAAAUAAAGUCUGCUUUCGCAAAGAAACGAGGGAGAGUGGAGUUCUUGCACGAGCUUUUCUUGAAUUGUGCGGACAUUCCAAGAGGUUUGCAAUGCUGUAUCUGUGGAAGCUGCUUCGAUCCCUGAGUAUUAUAUCAACCCUGGUAUUUUACUUCAUUUCAAUAUGGUGAUCCUUGCUAGGGCUGGCACACAAUUGCAAAAGAAGGGCAGGUGAUACUAGAAUCUGGAAAAUAGGAUGACCAUUAUUUAUCAUUUCAUCUUUGAAUUUAGAGUUAAUCUUGUUAGUGCUUGCAUGACCACGUUAGUGACAACAACUCACAGCACAGGCAAUAAGAAAAAAAUAUAUAUAAGAUGCUUAAUUUCCCAAAUUCAAUUUCAACUAAUUAUGUUCUUGAUUGAAUGCUUUCUCUAUCAGGCUUUGGAUUCAUCCAUGAACCUGCAGGAAUCUGAAACAUGGCAAACUUGUUACUAAAAUCAGAUAGCUGCCUCAACCACAUAACGAAAAAGAAGUGUAAUUUGACUUAUUCUUCCUGAAAUUUGCAGGAUUUUUCCUACCUUUCUCUUCUGUAGACCCUUCAAGGCUCCGCCAUGUAAGAAUUUAUGUUGCUUUUAAGUUUUGUCAUGUAGAUUGUAAUUUAUACCUUCAAAAUACUCCUUGCUGUGUAAGAGGAUGUGCUCUUAACUUGUUUAAAUUCCUUAAACAUUAGAAAAUGGAGAGGGAGAAAAAACAGGACGUCUUCUCGCAUGUUGCUUACAAGAAUGCUCAUCUUUAAAAAUUAGGAAAAAACUUGAGACUUUUUUUCUGGGUUUUUAAGAGACCCUUGUGAAAGCAACAAUCUUGCAGGUGCCCUAGUUGAAAGCAGUCAUAUGUAUCAGCCUGUGCCGUGCCGGUAUGUCGUCUAAGAUGUUUACUGGCCGAGCAUGCUCUAACAUGGGUGCUUGAUAGGAGACUAUAAUUGUACUGCCCUGCUUGUUCUCAAUAGGAAAGGAGAAGCUAUCUGAAACUGGAAAGGCUCGCUUCUCUUGUAACCUCAAGUUUCUUUUGCAGUUUUCUUUUAGCAUGCCUCGUUUCUUUUUCUCAUUUCUGGCUUCUUAUUGUCAACUCUGCCUUCAGGCUGAUGCUCAAGACUUUGGUAAUCACUCCAUUCGAACUUUGGUAAAUUACUUUAAUUUGAUUAUGAAUCUUCUCUUGGCUGCUCUUCACAAUUAUCUAGCAUUCCUGUUGAUGGUUCCUGUUGACACAAUCCACAGAAGCUGCUGUUUACAAGGCAUAGAGGAGCAGAUAUUCCAGAAUCCCUAGUGUUGAAAUGAUUAUCUUUCCAGCAAGCUUGCGGCUCCGAUGAAUACUCGUCUGAUAAAAUUCGUCGAUAUGCACAAAUUCAGCUCAAGCUCGUACGCAAGCAAUAAAACUUGAAUGCUUGAAAUUCUAUAGCUUUGUUGUGGAUUGCCAUUUUAAAUUCGUGCAUUUGUUUGACCAAACAAAA